AUUGGACGCUGGCGGCAGGCCUAACACAUGCAAGUCGAACGAGUGGCGGACGGGUGAGUAAUGUCUGGGAAACUGCCUGAUGGAGGGGGAUAACUACUGGAAACGGUAGCUAAUACCGCAUACCAUCGGAUGUGCCCAGAUGGGAUUAGCUUGUUGGUGGGGUAACGGCUCACCGAGUCGACGAUCCCUAGCUGGUCUGAGAGGAUGACAAGCGACACGGGAACUGAGACACGGUCCAGACUCCUACGGGAGGCAGCAGUGGGGAAUAUUGCACAAGGGGCGGAAGCCUGAUGCAGCCAUGCCGCGUGUAUGAAGAAGGCCUUCGGGUUGUAAAGUACUUUCAGCGGGGAGGCGUUACCCGCAGAAGAAGCACCGGCUAACUCCGUGCCAGCAGCCGCGGUAAUUC
Molecule: ribosomal RNA, 406 nt
Filed under: uncultured bacterium
Lineage: Bacteria
Description: partial 16S ribosomal RNA
Rfam family: Bacterial small subunit ribosomal RNA
Source: RNAcentral